GAUCCUGGCUCAGGACGAACGCUGGCGGCGCGCCUAACACAUGCAAGUCGAACGAGAGAUGAGGAGCUUGCUCUUCAAAUCGAGUGGCGAACGGGUGAGUAACGCGUGAGGAACCUGCCUCAAAGAGGGGGACAACAGUUGGAAACGACUGCUAAUACCGCAUAAGCCCACGGCUCGGCAUCGAGCAGAGGGAAAAGGAGCCAAUCCGCUUUGAGAUGGCCUCGCGUCCGAUUAG
Molecule: ribosomal RNA, 235 nt
Filed under: uncultured bacterium
Lineage: Bacteria
Description: partial 16S ribosomal RNA
Rfam family: Bacterial small subunit ribosomal RNA
Source: RNAcentral